CACGUAGGGUGCGAGCGUUGUCCGGAAUUAUUGGGCGUAAAGAGCUCGUAGGCGGUGUGUCGCGUCGAUCGUGAAAACUUGGGGCUUAACCCUGAGCUUGCGGUCGAUACGGGCAUCACUUGAGUUCGGCAGGGGAGACUGGAAUUCCUGGUGUAGCGGUGAAAUGCGCAGAUAUCAGGAGGAACACCGGUGGCGAAGGCGGGUCUCUGGGCCGAUACUGACGCUGAGGAGCGAAAGCGUGGGGAGCAAACAGG
RNAcentral lists this ribosomal RNA (254 nucleotides) under uncultured bacterium. RNAcentral's name for it is "partial 16S ribosomal RNA". It matches the Rfam family "Bacterial small subunit ribosomal RNA", at positions 524 to 776 of the family's 1533-position model. The record is from RNAcentral.